This 745-nucleotide long non-coding RNA is filed under the name Homo sapiens (human). RNAcentral describes it as "non-protein coding lnc-SNRPD1-1:1". Lineage: Eukaryota; Metazoa; Chordata; Mammalia; Primates; Hominidae. The record is from RNAcentral.
GAGCAGUGUUAAAAUCUCCUAUUAAUGUGUAAUGUACCUGUCAGUGCCUCCUUUAUUAAGGGGUUCUUUGAGAAUAAAAGAGAAAAGACCUACUUUAUUUGACAGCAAAACUGUUCUAAUUGUUAAUAAGGACUUUUAAAAAUUGUUUUUGAUUUGCUAAGCUCAGAAAAAAUGUCUCUCAGUGCAUCAGUUCUUUGUAAAGCUUACUACGAAGUAUUUAUAUGCUAAGGAAAACAACUGAGGAUGUGGGUGGCUUAAAUCUGUAUUUUCAUCAUGUAUGUGAGUUUUUUUUUUUUUAAGUAAAGAAAUUUUCUGCAAAGAUCGUUACCUUAAAAAAGUUUAGCCUGGGCGUGAGCCACCGCGUCCGGCCGAACAUUAGUUUUUAAAGAAAUGUAUUAUGAAUAUAGAUAGAAAACCCAAAGUGAAGGAAUAGAAAAUGAAAUAUCAGUUUCUUUUAAUCUAUCAUAAUUAUGUGAGCAUAACUUAGUAUUUUGAAAUAGAUUAAUGUAGUCAGCAAACAAUUCAUGUAUUACCUAUAAUAGAUAUCAUACAUAUAACAUUUAAUAACAUACAGUUCUUGUUCCUGAAGACUUAACCUAGAAAAUAACUCCAUAACAAGAAGAAUCUCUGUCAUAAUAAACCAACAGCAGACAUUUUCUAAAGGCAUUAAAAGUAUAUCUGAUACUGGCCUUUAUUAAUGUGAAAUUCUUGUGGAUCUGUGAAAUAAAGAGGAGUACUUUCUUUU